Molecule: unclassified non-coding RNA, 524 nt
Filed under: plant metagenome
Description: partial contains small subunit ribosomal RNA, internal transcribed spacer 1, and 5.8S ribosomal RNA
Source: RNAcentral
UUUCCGUAGGUGAACCUGCGGAAGGAUCAUUAUCGAGCUUCCAAAAAGUCUCAUACCGUGCAUACUAUCCAUUUGUGCGUAUGUGAGCCGCGUAGUGCACCGCCACGCUGGUACGAUCGCUGUUGGCUGUUUCUUGUUUGGCCGGCAAUCAAUGAUCGGGUGGAGCACGUUGUAAACGCGAUUUGAGUGCACUCAGGAUGAUGCGUUCGGCAGGUUAAAGUGUUCGCAUCGCUGGGUUUCUGAGGCACGCUAUAAGUACUGACGGUGCCCUUCGUUGGCGUCUAUACUGUGCAGGGCUAAUGCCCGGACCGUCAUUAGCGAUGAAAUGCACAGAGAGCAGCUCCUCGUGCAAACGGGUCGAGCAGACUUAAUGAGCGUUCAGCAAGUGCGCUGCCAACAACCAAAUGCCCCCAAUACACUGAUUCUUUGUAUCAAAACAUUCGCUGGCAAAAGCUGAAAAUUUGCGUUUUUGGCUUUGAAAGUGAAAAAGUGUACUACUCUUAGCGGUGGAUCACUCGGCUCGU